This 465-nucleotide ribosomal RNA is filed under the name uncultured bacterium. RNAcentral describes it as "partial 16S ribosomal RNA". It matches the Rfam family "Bacterial small subunit ribosomal RNA", at positions 28 to 507 of the family's 1533-position model. The record is from RNAcentral.
GACGAACGCUGGCGGCGUGCUUAACACAUGCAAGUCGAACGGAAAGGCCCUGCUUGCAGGGUACUCGAGUGGCGAACGGGUGAGUAACACGUGGGUGAUCUGCCCUGCACUUCGGGAUAAGCCUGGGAAACUGGGUCUAAUACCGGAUAGGAGCCAUUUUUAGUGUGAUGGUUGGAAAGUUUUUUCGGUGUAGGAUGAGCUCGCGGCCUAUCAGCUUGUUGGUGGGGUAAUGGCCUACCAAGGCGGCGACGGGUAGCCGGCCUGAGAGGGUGGACGGCCACAUUGGGACUGAGAGACGGCCCAGACGCCUACGGGAGGCAGCAGUGGGGAAUAUUGCACAAUGGGCGCAAGCCUGAUGCAGCGACGCCGCGUGGGGGAUGACGGCCUUCGGGUUGUAAACUCCUUUCGCUAGGGACGAAGCUUUUUGUGACGGUACCUAGAUAAGAAGCACCGGCUAACUACGUG